AAGGACACCAGGAUUCCUUUCUAUCGUCUGCAAAAUAGUACUUAAGGGACUUUAAUUCCCCUACUUCCGGCCCUCUGGACAUAAUGGUUUAAAAUUCCUGGCAAUUGAACCCGGACCCACACUUUCUUUUUCCUCCUCAUCCUGUGUCAUCGCUCUCCUUGCUGUCAGCACCCUGGCAGGCAUCUGGCAACACAGCUGGAACCAGAGUAUGCCCGGGUGCCACACUACCUGCCUCGCCUGGCUGAUCCUUUAGAAUCCAAAGGCGUUCAUUUUAGAGAGGAGCAGUGAAGGCUUACGAUAUCAGCAGUGCUACCUGCUUCGUGAUCUGAACAAAUAACAGGGCGAAGGCUCAACUCUAACUCGGUGCCGUGAUGAAUUACUCAGUGCCUGCUGCGGGCCAGGGGCUGGAGAUCCCCUGCGAGGAAGUUUUUAGCUGGGAACUUUCUGUAAGCUUUCCAGGAAUGAGCCGGAGAGGCAACACUCAAGUUGGGGAUUGCUGAUAAUACACCAGUCACACAGCUGCUCCAUUCCCACAUAAAUUUAGUCCUUGGCUGGUCACACUGACACAUUUCCCUGAAGGUGGCCAGAGGGCUCAUGCAGCCAGCCGGUUAUGAAACACCGAGAAGUAUAAAAGCCUGCUAGCCCUCUGGGCUGUUUUUCCCCUGACAGAGAUGGAGGCUGUGAGCAGGCUUGUCCCCUUGGCCCUUUUCAUCAUGCCGUGUUUGGCAGAGUUCAACUGGACCCAGUCUGAAGGUAGGCUUCAUGCCUAGUGCAGAGCCCAACACAAGGCUCUUGACCCUGAGAUCAAGACCUGAGCUAAGAUCAAGAGUCGGAUGCUUAACCUACUAAGCAACCUGACUAUGCCUCUUCAUAGGUUCUUCAUAUAUUUUGAAUACUAACCCCUUAUCAAGAGCACGAGUAGGGAGAGUCGCAGAAGGGGAGGGAGGGAGAGAAUCUUAAGCAGGCUCCACGCCUAGUGUGGCUUCUUGGGGGAGGGGCUGGAUCUCAUGACCCUGAGAUCAUGACCUGAGUCGAAAUCAAGUCGGACGUUUAACCGCCUGAGCCACCCAGGUGCCCCUAAAUUAGCCCUUAUUCCAAAGAGUAAAUUCACCAAAACACUGAAUGAGUGUGAAAUACCCCAUUUCCAUAAACAUAAAACAUUUUCGGCAAAGAUUCACUGAAAAUAAAACUUUGCUGUUUCCUUGAGACAAGUAGUUUCCAAAGUGGAUAGGUUUAUUUUUAAGGGCAACUACAUCACUCUUGAACACACAUACGAUAGUUAUCAUACGUCUGCUAGAGAGAACCACAGCCCCCUUGAUUCACACGCUUUCUUCCUUCAGUGCAGGCCUCAGAGCUUCACACCGGAAACACACGAGAGAAGGCCUCUGGCAAGAACCUGUAUCUGCUCAGGAAAGGAGGGGACCGUACACUUUCUGGGUUUACUGAGAUCAAACAGGAUGAAUUCUCUCAACUCACCUCAAACGCUAAGUCUAAAGUAAUAAUGCCGACAAGGAACAGGCCGGUUCUGAUGUUUACUUUCUACCUACUGCUACGCUUUAUUGAAACAGAUAAUAACGGCCCCGGUGCAUACGUACGCAUGCCAAACACAAUGCCUCAGCCGUUAUCCGAGCGUAAAUACCACCCAAUCAGUGAUCUGAAUGAAAGGCUUUUAAGUCUUAGGUAUCUAAUUUUCCAUGAACAAUCAAUUAGAAAAAGAAAAAUCAUCAAAUACUCUAAGCAUUCUUUUUCAUACUCCUAAGACCAUAAAAUAAGCCCUAUUAUAAAUAAAAAAUACACUUCUAUCAAAAACAUUAUACAACACAGACUCAUGGAUUGCAUUAAAAAUCCUUAACAUGUUUCAACACUGAAGCCAGAAACACAUAUACAUUUCUGUCAGAGUGAACAAGACCGUAAACAAAAAUAAUUUAUAACCCUAUCAUGUUGUUAAAUCUUAGCGCACAGUACCGGAUUCACAGUAACAAGCAGAGCUAAAAUGAACACUGAGGUCACCGUACGUAAGAUGGUGAUCCUCAAAUGCCAUUAAAUACUUGCCUUGAACUUGUGGGGUUUUGGCUUUCUAAUAAAUACGUAAUAAAUAUCUGUAGCGCACGGUC
Molecule: long non-coding RNA, 2114 nt
Organism: Acinonyx jubatus (cheetah)
Lineage: Eukaryota; Metazoa; Chordata; Mammalia; Carnivora; Felidae
Exons: 3
Source: RefSeq, a predicted model, not a curated record